RNAcentral lists this ribosomal RNA (347 nucleotides) under uncultured bacterium. Its description in RNAcentral is "partial 16S ribosomal RNA". It matches the Rfam family "Bacterial small subunit ribosomal RNA", at positions 338 to 696 of the family's 1533-position model. The record is from RNAcentral.
CCUACGGGUGGCAGCAGUCGAGAAUCAUUCACAAUGGGGGAAACCCUGAUGGUGCGACGCCGCGUGGGGGAAUGAAGGUCUUCGGAUUGUAAACCCCUGUCAUGUGGGAGCAAAUUAAAAAGAUAGUACCACAAGAGGAAGAGACGGCUAACGCUGUGCCAGCAGCCGCGGUAAUCCAGAGGUCUCAAGCGUUGUUCGGAAUCACUGGGCGUAACGCGUGCGUAGGCUGUUUCGUAAGUCGUGUGUGAAAGGCGCGGGCUCAACCCGCGGACGGCACAUGAUACUGCGAGACUAGAGUAAAGGAGAGGGAACCGGAAUUCGCGGUGUAGCAGUGAAAUGCGUAGAUA